ACCCUCUCAGAGUUGCACCUGGAGAGUUUCUAGUACUAUACCAGUCUCAACUACAGGAGGGAGAGGCAAGCAGAGGCCUACCUAUUCCACUCUUAGUUUGGGCAGUGGCUAGCCAGUGGAAGGCAAUCUGCUACAAGU
Small nucleolar RNA from Ornithorhynchus anatinus (platypus), 138 nucleotides. The record is from RefSeq and is a predicted model, not a curated record. NCBI's taxonomy places the organism in Eukaryota, Metazoa, Chordata, Mammalia, Monotremata, Ornithorhynchidae.